RNAcentral lists this transfer-messenger RNA (342 nucleotides) under Veillonellaceae. Its description in RNAcentral is "Veillonella_A sp900765165 Standard tmRNA". It matches the Rfam family "transfer-messenger RNA". From Rfam's summary of the family: Bacterial tmRNA, also known as 10Sa RNA or SsrA, is named for its dual tRNA and mRNA-like properties. Lineage: Bacteria; Bacillati; Bacillota; Negativicutes; Veillonellales. RNAcentral also lists the same sequence under 2 other names. The record is from RNAcentral.
GGGGGCGUAAUGGUUUCGACAGGGGUGCGUGUAUCACAAAUAGCGAGUCGGCGUUCCAGAAGGCCGUAAAACUGUGGGACUUUAAAUUAAACGCAAAAGAAAACUUUGCAUUAGCUGCAUAAGCUACGUCUUACCUCUCUUCGCCCGUGAGCGGGGAUAAGACGUCAAACAACGGGCUCGUUAUGACGAAUUGCUCACUUCGUUGUAAUUAAAUCAACGAGCUGGAUUGGUGUAGGUUGUUGCUGUUCGAAAGCCAAUCGAGAUUUAAAACAGUAACUGCACUCGGAGAAGUUUGUGGGGCAACGCUUUUGGACAGGGGUUCGAUUCCCCUCGCCUCCACCA